Molecule: transfer RNA, 73 nt
Filed under: Scleropages formosus (Asian bonytongue)
Lineage: Eukaryota; Metazoa; Chordata; Actinopteri; Osteoglossiformes; Osteoglossidae
Rfam family: tRNA
About the family: Transfer RNA (tRNA) molecules are approximately 80 nucleotides in length. Their secondary structure includes four short double-helical elements and three loops (D, anti-codon, and T loops).
Source: Rfam by way of RNAcentral
AUUUCCAUAGUGUAGUGGUUAUCACCUUUGCCUUACACGCAAAAGGUCCCUGGUUUCAGAUGGGGUGGAAACA